AAGGCGGGGCUGCCUUUUCAACAAGGUUUAAGUCAAAACGACGGUCGGAGGGGCCAGACAUUUUCAAAGGUAUUGAAGAGAGAAAAGGUCGGACAAAUCAAGAUCUUAGAAGUGCAAGAAUGGAGCUUCUACUGGUGGAGAUUCAAGUGUGCUUUGGAACUUAAUGCCAGCCCCUAUAAAAAGCUGCACUCGACGGAGCUUCAGACAUCGAAGAGGCGCCUGCUCAGAAAUCGAAGAGGCGUUUGCUUUCUCAAAAGCUGGGCUGCUUAGAGACCACGAGGGUUGAUCUCAUAAAUCGAAGAGGUGUUUGCUUUCUCAAAAGUUGGGCUGCUCA
RNAcentral lists this long non-coding RNA (334 nucleotides) under Malus domestica (apple). RNAcentral describes it as "long non-coding RNA (MDOM_LNC004024)". Lineage: Eukaryota; Viridiplantae; Streptophyta; Magnoliopsida; Rosales; Rosaceae. The record is from RNAcentral.